RNAcentral lists this ribosomal RNA (253 nucleotides) under uncultured bacterium. Its description in RNAcentral is "partial 16S ribosomal RNA". It matches the Rfam family "Bacterial small subunit ribosomal RNA", at positions 524 to 776 of the family's 1533-position model. The record is from RNAcentral.
UACAGAGGUCCCAAGCGUUGUUCGGAUUCACUGGGCGUAAAGGGUGCGCAGGUGGGCUGUCAAGUUCGAUGUGAAAGCCCCGGGCUUAACCCGGGAAUGGCAUUGAAGACUGGCGGUCUGGAGGGUUGGAGGGGGGACUGGAAUUCUUGGUGUAGCAGUGAAAUGCGUAGAUAUCAAGAGGAACACCAGUGGCGAAGGCGAGUCCCUGGACAACACCUGACACUGAGGCACGAAAGCCGGGGGAGCAAACAGG